This 806-nucleotide ribosomal RNA is filed under the name uncultured bacterium. RNAcentral describes it as "bacterial SSU rRNA". It matches the Rfam family "Bacterial small subunit ribosomal RNA", at positions 27 to 859 of the family's 1533-position model. The record is from RNAcentral.
GGGUGAACGCUGGCGGCGUGCCUAACACAUGCAAGUCGAGCGGUGCAGCUGGAGGCUUCGGCCGAAGGCUGCAUAGCGGCGGACGGGUGCGUAACGCGUAGGAACGUGCCCCCUGGAGGGCGGAUAGCCGCGGGAAACUGCGGGUAAACCGCCAUAGACUCGGGAGAGUAAAGGCCGGAAGGCGCCAGGGGAGCGGCCUGCGUCCCAUCAGGUAGUUGGUAGGGUAACGGCCUACCAAGCCUACGACGGGUAGCCGGUCUGAGAGGAUGGCCGGCCACAAGGGCACUGAGACACGGGCCCUACUCCUACGGGAGGCAGCAGUGGGGGAUAUUGGACAAUGGGCGGAAGCCUGAUCCAGCGACGCCGCGUGGAGGACGAAGCCCUUCGGGGUGUAAACUCCUUUUGUCGGGGAAAAAGAGCCGAUGGUACCCGACGAAUAAGCCCCGGCUAACUACGUGCCAGCAGCCGCGGUAAUACGUAGGGGGCGAGCGUUACCCGGAAUCACUGGGCGUAAAGGGUGCGUAGGCGGCCGCGUGUGUCUGGCGUAAAAUUCCACGGCUCAACUGUGGGUAUGCGCUGGAAACUACGUGGCUUGGGUGCGGCAGAGGCAGACGGAACUGCUGGUGUAGGGGUGAAAUCCGUAGAUAUCAGCAGGAACGCCGGUGGAGAAGUCGGUCUGCUGGGCCGUAACCGACGCUGAGGCACGAAAGCUAGGGGAGCGAACCGGAUUAGAUACCCGGGUAGUCCUAGCCGUAAACGAUGCUCACUAGGUGUGGGGGCGGAAGCCUCCGUGCGAAGCGAACGCG